RNAcentral lists this ribosomal RNA (253 nucleotides) under uncultured bacterium. Its description in RNAcentral is "partial 16S ribosomal RNA". It matches the Rfam family "Bacterial small subunit ribosomal RNA", at positions 524 to 776 of the family's 1533-position model. The record is from RNAcentral.
UACGGAGGGAGCUAGCGUUGUUCGGAAUUACUGGGCGUAAAGCGCGCGUAGGCGGCUUUGUAAGUUAGAGGUGAAAGCCCGGGGCUCAACCCCGGAACUGCCUUUAAGACUGCAUCGCUUGAAUCCGGGAGAGGUGAGUGGAAUUCCGAGUGUAGAGGUGAAAUUCGUAGAUAUUAGGAAGAACACCGGUGGCGAAGGCGGCCCACUGGAUCGGUACUGACGCUGAGGUGCGAAAGCGUGGGGAGCAAACAGG